AUUUAUAAGUGCUACUCUACAAAAUGUUUCACACCAGAGCAAUAAAUUACUAUAUUUAUUGUUUGGUGAAGAUAAAAACAGGCUAAAAAUAAUUUAAACACUUUAAGAAGUGUUGUGCUUUUGAAUGAGAACUUGUUGGUCGUAAAGGCAGAGAUCAAUUCAAGAUAACUUUCUACAUUCCUCUUUUGAUCACCAAACUCCAAAACAUUCAAGCUGUUUUCAGUCGUACGUUCUUAUUGGAUGGACAGUAUCCUAAUAACGUUCUCAAACAACAUCGAAGAUUUGUUUUCUGUUUCUUCACCUUGACUUUCCCUACAUUCUUGUGCCCUCAUAUAACAUUUUCCUAACCCAUUGGUCUGUGUUCAGCUGCUGCUGCUACGAAUGGAAACUGGUGGCUACUCCCUGCUCUUUUUGUCUUUACUUUCAAGCCAAGUUUUUUAGUCCUGUCCCCUUAAGAGAUGCCCUUGUUCUGCUUUGUUGUGCUUCUUUUAUCUAAUUUCCCUAAAGAAUAAUUGAAAUGAACUAAACUCAUGAAGAUAUCCCAAGUUGGUUCCUUCAAAAGUGAAAACAAUCCUUUAAGAUCUUGAAAAGUAGUUGGUAAAAUGUUUUUGACCACAACGCAUUAACUCAAGAGAAAAUGGACACUAAAUACUCCUGCAACAGAUUAUUCAGCUUUCCGUUGCUUUUUAUCUGGGAUGGGUAUCAAGAUCCGAUACAAAACUGCUCUGAGUUCCUUGUUCUUCAGCUCUGAAAUGUCACAAUUAGGAAUUUCAAUGAUAACUUAUCUCUGUUAAACUUGAACGACUUUAAUCUGAAAAAAUGUCAAAAUAACAUGAACAUUGCAGUAUUUUAAAACUUUCUCCUUGUGUUGAUAUUUGGAUUCAAAUCAUGUAGAAAUCUUGAAAAGAUACCUAAAAUGGUAAUUUUAAUUUUUAAGAUUUUCCUUUUAAAAUUGAUGAUUAUCAGUCUAGCAAAAUACAAAUGUGCAACCUUCUUUGUAACAUAGCUGGUGUUCCUUGUAAUUCAUUAAUUAGGCUUCCUCAGGUCUUUUCCACACACAUUAAAAAUCAGACAGAACUCGGAGAAUUCAGCAGUCUUCCCAGUAUGCUUUAAUCCGCUGUUUUGAACUCAAACAUAACUUGGCAGUGAGAUCUUGUUGGUUUAUUGUGGCAACAUGCAACUUAUCCAGAUUUUGUUGCCAGUGUACACCAGUGGAGACAGGCCAUCAGAGAAUUGAAACAGGAAAAGAUACUUUAGUCUCAUUGCAUUCACACCGGAUUGUCGGUACUAAAAAAAUGUUUGAAGAAUUCUUGGCACUGGGGAUUUUGAGUUUAGGCUCCUGACAUAGGGAUCAAUAUGUGCUUUGUUCUCAGUUCUGGAGAAGUGCACACUUCUCCAGAUUGUGACAGACUAAAUGCUGGACGAGCAAAGGAAGUUUUUUUUUUUUUUUUCUGAGUUAUUUUUUGACUCCACUUGUGAAUAUAGAAUCACUCAGCCCCAACCAGUUUAAAAUAUUGGCAGGAUGGCCAUCUCCACGUUGACCAGAAGUUCAUGCAGAAAUCAGCCAUUAUCUAAGUCCUUUCGUUCUGAUGAGCUGAUGAAGCAUUCCACCUCUUCCAAGGUUAAAACUGAUGGCGCGGGUGCAGAAACCUUCCAUGUAUAUAGGAGUUAUGUAAAUUAUGAGGACUCAUUGUAGUGCAACAUUCAAAUGUGAUUUAGGUUCUGGAUACUGUGCAAUGGUCUUAAUCCAGUGAUAAGAGGGACCUAAAGCAUCUGAGGUGCGUCAGUCUAUUGUCUACAGACAGGCAAGGCUUUAUUUGCUCACUAAUAGUUACAGCUACACUAUGUAGUCUGUGGAAGAGGGUAAUGACAGUAACAUACAGGUAGGGUCUGCAUAGCUGAUUAUUUUAGGAUAGGAAGUGCGUCAUGUAAUUGCUUCAACAUCAGCUCUAUGGAAUAAAAUGCGUCCAUCUACUGACAAACAAGUUAUCAUCAAUAUUACUUAAAUGUUCUAUUCUCAAAUUUUAAAGUAUCUUCCACAGCAUUGUGACAAGUAAGUCCUAUUAUGUUUUGACUGUUGUUUCGAAACAGUAAAAUUUUCAAAACAGUAACGAUUUAAAGGGACCUUUAUCAGAUGCAAUAAUUCUAGUAUUCAUGCCAACAAAAUCCUAAUGAUACCCAUCCCUUUCUCAACACUUAAAUAUGAGUAUUACACCAGAGUUUGUUUUCCUUUGUGUUUGCUCAGUUAUUUAAGAAGCUUACAUGUUGCUUGUAAAGGCCCGUCUCUGCCUGAAAAUACGAGAUACAGGCCAAACCAAAAACUUCGUCAUCUCGACUUGAUCAAAAUAUAAUCUUAGGAAGACAGCCCUCCCCCCAUUGGUAUUAAAGUUGAGUGAUGUGCCUGUGAACAUGCUGCUGUCUUGACUCCACAUUUGAUUCCACCAGGUUGACUCCGAUUGUGACUCAGAUCGAGUUACCUAUGACACAAUGGAUCACGAAGACAGAGAUCGAGACUGAGGAACAAAACAAAAAAGUCUGUCACUCCACUCUGUGCAUACGUACUGCAGUGUGCGUGAUCAACUCAGUCAUGUGCUCUCACAAGUCUGGGCCGAUGCCUAAGUUCUAAACAGUCCCAACGUGUGUAUCAGGAUGCGAUAUCCUUACACACAAAGAGAGAGCGAGAGAUCGAACACUAAAUGUUCAAACCACGCAAAACGGUAAAGAGUGAUUUGUCUAUGGGACAUGAGAGGUUUGUGUGCCUGUCUCUCAGAUUUCCCCGUAGCUCUCCACUCUUGGUCUGUUGUUCACCAGAAAAAUGGAUCGAUAAAGAGUUGAAGCUCUCCGUGCCAAGCGACUCCUCGUAAAUGGGUACUUAAACUUUUUUUUGGAGGGGUGGGGGGGCUGAGAUGAGGAAUCCAAACGGGCUUGGUGCUGAAAGUGAGUAAUGAAAACUGUGCCUCCUAAUGUCCUGUCUAAGUGGAUGUCUCUGUGUCCGAUGAAGCGUGAAGUGCUCUGUAACCCUAACAAAAUGACUAUCACUGUGUUCCUGUGGUUUUUAAAUGGCCUUCCCCUCGCUGUCACUGUCUUUACUUCUAUCCUGCUCAGUGUGAAAUGAAGGCCACCCAUAAAUGCAAUAAUUGGCAAGUGUUUAUCAUAGCCCUGGCAAUCGCAUGCUGUGUAACGAUAGAAAAGGUCAAUUUAUAAGACUUUAAAUGCCUCACUCUGAUCACAGCAGGUACUUUAAAAAAGUUAAAGCUGUUUUGCAACCUAUUGUAUCGUCAUUGAAGAUUGAUAAAAUGCAACUCAUGGCUGUAAUACAAACAAUAAAAGAUUUACCUGCAGG
Long non-coding RNA from Poecilia latipinna (sailfin molly), 3343 nucleotides. RefSeq lists it as uncharacterized. NCBI's taxonomy places the organism in Eukaryota, Metazoa, Chordata, Actinopteri, Cyprinodontiformes, Poeciliidae. The record is from RefSeq and is a predicted model, not a curated record. The transcript has 2 exons.